UCAGUAACACACGGGUAAUCUGCCCUUAGGUGGAGGAUACCCUCGGGAAAUUGAGCUUCAUACUCCAUAGGUCUAGGAUGCUGGAAUGCACUUAGACUAAAAGCUUCGGUGCCUAAGGAUGAGUCUGCGGACUAUCAGGUUGUAGUCAGGGUAAUGACCUGACUAGCCUAUGACGGAUACGGGUUGUGAGAGCAAUAACCCGGAGAUGAUAUCUGAGACACGAUAUCAGGCCCUACGGGGCGCAGCAGGCGCGAAAACUUCGCAAUGUGCGAAAGCACGACGAGGGGAUCCCAAGUGCUGGCUCGUUAGAGUCAGCUGUUUUUAUGUCUAAAAAGCAUAGAGAGUAAGGGCUGGGUAAGACGGGUGCCAGCCGCCGCGGUAAUACCUGCAGCUCAAGUGGUGACCGCUAUUAUUGGGCCUAAAGCGUCCGUAGCCUGUUUAUUAAAUGCCUAGGUAAAUUGUAUGGCUUAACCAUACGAAUUCUGGGUAGACUGAUAAACUUGAGAUCGGGAGAGCUAGAGGUACUCCUGGGGUAGAGGUGAAAUUCUGUAAUCCUAGGGGGACCACCAGUGGCGAAGGCGUCUAGCUAGAACGAGUUUGACGGUGAGGGACGAAGCCCUGGGGCGCAAACGGGAUUAGAUACCCCGGUAGUCCAGGUGUAAACGCUGCUUGCUUGAUGUUGGUUUGGGCUCGAGCCAAUCAGUGUCGGAGAGAGUUGUUAAGCAAGCUGCCUGGUAGUACGAUCGCAAGACUGAAACUUA
Molecule: ribosomal RNA, 761 nt
Filed under: uncultured archaeon
Lineage: Archaea
Description: bacterial SSU rRNA
Rfam family: Archaeal small subunit ribosomal RNA
Source: RNAcentral